Homo sapiens (human) is the source of this 555-nucleotide long non-coding RNA. RefSeq lists it as uncharacterized. The record is from RefSeq and is a predicted model, not a curated record. The transcript has 2 exons. NCBI's taxonomy places the organism in Eukaryota, Metazoa, Chordata, Mammalia, Primates, Hominidae.
GCUGGAGUGCAGUGGUGUGAUCAUGGCUCACUACAACCUCAACCUCUGGGGCUCAAGCAGUCUUCCAGCCUCAGACUCCUGAGUAGGGGACCACAGGCACUUGCCACCAUGCCCAGGUUAGACCAAGAGGACUCAAAGAAGAGGAAGAAAUCCUUGUCUUCAACAGGUCUGGUCAGCUCUGAAGAUUCCCUGAAAUGUGACAUGUAGCGUGACUGUUUGCAUUCUGAGUAGCCCACUACACUGGUAUAAAUUCACAAAUUUGGAGAGUCUCUCCUAGGAGUACCCACAGCAUUCCACCAAGGAGAUCACGGUUUAGUGUUACUCUCACUCAGUCCUAGCUGCAUACUAUAAUCACACAGAGAAUGAAAAAGAAAAAUAGUAAUGCUGGAACUCUCCCCAGACUUCUGACUCAGACCAUCCAGUGGUGAGGUCCUGGCUUCAGACUUUUGAUAAAGUUCCACAGCUGAUUCUGUCAAAUUUGGUCCUGUGUUAUUUGAGUUCUAGAAUGGCAAUUUCAACUGUGUGUUAAUAAAUAUAAUUUUGAUCCUCCUAAAA